CCAUAGAAGAUGGCGUUGAUGGGAUGGAGGUGUAAGCACCAAGCUUCGGCGAGGUGUUCAGCCUGCCAUUCCCAAUAGCCCAAUGCACUAAAUCA
RNAcentral lists this ribosomal RNA (95 nucleotides) under Thermoproteota archaeon. RNAcentral describes it as "partial 23S ribosomal RNA". It matches the Rfam family "Archaeal large subunit ribosomal RNA", at positions 2893 to 2987 of the family's 2987-position model. Lineage: Archaea; Thermoproteati; Thermoproteota. The record is from RNAcentral.